AAGUCCGUAAAUGCACUGUGUUGCUAAUUUUAUUUUGCGAAAUUAGCAGCAUGGCGCAUUUGCGCACCA
This 69-nucleotide microRNA precursor is filed under the name Dracunculus medinensis (Guinea worm). RNAcentral describes it as "mir-5366 microRNA precursor family". It matches the Rfam family "mir-5366 microRNA precursor family". Lineage: Eukaryota; Metazoa; Nematoda; Chromadorea; Rhabditida; Dracunculidae. The record is from Rfam by way of RNAcentral.